AGUGAACGCUGGCGGUAGGCCUAACACAUGCAAGUCGAACGGCAGCACAGUAAGAGCUUGCUCUUACGGGUGGCGAGUGGCGGACGGGUGAGGAAUACAUCGGAAUCUACUUUUUCGUGGGGGAUAACGUAGGGAAACUUACGCUAAUACCGCAUACGACCUACGGGUGAAAGCAGGGGAUCUUCGGACCUUGCGCGAUUGAAUGAGCCGAUGUCGGAUUAGAUAGUUGGCGGGGUAAAGGCCCACCAAGGCGACGAUCCGUAGCUGGUCUGAGAGGAUGAUCAGCCACACUGGAACUGAGACACGGUCCAGACUCCUACGGGAGGCAGCAGUGGGGAAUAUUCGACAAUGGGCGCAAGCCUGAUCCAGCCGUACCGCGUGGGUGAAGAAGGCCUUCGGGUUGUAAAGCCCUUUUGUUGGGAAAGAAAAGCAGCAGGUUAAUACCCCGCUGUUCUGACGGUACCCAAGGAAUAAGCACCGGCUAACUUCGUG
Molecule: ribosomal RNA, 492 nt
Filed under: uncultured bacterium
Lineage: Bacteria
Description: partial 16S ribosomal RNA
Rfam family: Bacterial small subunit ribosomal RNA
Source: RNAcentral